RNAcentral lists this unclassified non-coding RNA (2175 nucleotides) under Hevea brasiliensis (rubber tree). The record is from RNAcentral. Lineage: Eukaryota; Viridiplantae; Streptophyta; Magnoliopsida; Malpighiales; Euphorbiaceae.
AGAACAUCUCUUUCCUUACGCGAAACGCUACCGUCUAUCCCUACCCCACUCUCCCUUCUGUCGUCCGUUAACUCGCCAGUCAAUUUCUUUCGAUUCUCUCUCCCCUCGCGAGCUCACUGUUUCUUAGGUCAAUGCGAACCCUAAGACUCUUCCACUGAACUACAAUGGCGAUCGACGCUUUGCUGCUAGGGUUUUUUCCUCUCUCUCUCAAUUUUAGCCUUUUUUCCUUUUCUUCUUUCUGCAUUUUUGUCUUAUUUUGUUUCUGUAUUUGCUUUACUCGGUUGCUCUCUUAUUAACUGUUAAUACCUCUCCCCUUUAACUCUGCAAUUUUGAUUUGUUUAGGUUUUUUUUUUUCUUCUUUUGAAUCAAGGUGUUUGCGUUGUUCUGCACCCUUGCAUGCUUUUCCCACGCUUUUUGUUUAUCUGGUGGGUUUUUAGUUUAAGGUGCAAUUUUGCAUAAAGUUUGAAUUUUUCUUUCUCCCUACUGUUGAUAUUACUGCAGUUUGAGUGAUGUAGUUUAAAUUGGUUAUUCGUUUUUCCUAAUCGAGAUACAUAUUGAAAGAUAACCCAUUUCAAUGCCAGUGGCACAGAAACGUUGCUGGUAAGAUUUAUUUGAUCGAGGAGAUAUCGAACUUCAAAAAUUGUCAGGAAUAUUAGUUAUUGUUCACUGCUUUCUAUCGUAAUAGCACUGAUGAUUUAUGGCCGACGUAAAUUUAGCAAAUUUUCAUUUUCGAAAUUGUCUGCUUUGCAUCUCUUCGCGCAUGUGUUGGAAUAAGAAGCAUUAAUGCUGAUUUUUCCCCUUCUUGGAACUUGCUACCCUGGAUUAGGAGUAGAGUGAUGGGUUUGUUUGGUUGCCAUUUUUGCUUCAAUUAAAAGAAAUAGUGCACCAUGACAUAAGACAUGUGUAUGGAUGGGAUCUCCAGAAUUAAAAUAGUAAUGGUAAGAUUUUGGUUCAAUUUGAGAACUCUAAACACAUUCAUCACUAGGAAUCCAGAUUAAAAACCUUGUCCAUAAUGUCAUUAGUAUUUGUUGAAAUUGAAAUGGUUUUCAAAUUCAAAUCUGAACUAUGCUGUAAAAAAGUUCAGUUUUCUUUCCUUAAAUUGUUUGGUUUCUUCUAUUUAUUAAACUAGAUAAUGUCAGGUAGAAACCAAUGACUUAAUUUUAACUACUGAUCUGUCUGCUUUUUGUAGGAAGUGGGAAUGCACUUCAAUUAGAUGCCAGACAAUGUGGAUUCUCUUCAUUAUUUUAUUGGUGCAAUCGGAGAUGUUGCUCUUUUGUACGUAAUUAGAUUUGUGGCUUAAUUUCAAGUCCUGGGUGGUUUGCUUUUGGAGAGUCCUUUUAUUAAGUUUGCUGGAAGACAGGAAAUUAGUUUGUUUGAAGCAGGGGAGACUUACUAUUAUCAACUUUGAUGGCUGCAAUGGAUCCUAUAGAUAUCAGUUCUGAUAGUGAUGAUUGGUUUGAAGAUGAUGACUUUGAUACAUCACCUAUAAGGAGAUCUACUGAGUCUAGGGUUCUUCCAUCUUGGGCUACUACGGCAGGCACAGACUCUAGGAGGCAAACUCCACAUACUUCUCCCAGAAGAGAACAUGGUUCUAAUGGGAGCUCAUCAAGUGUAAAUGAUCAUUCAUUUCUAAAAUCUUCACAUCGGUUAACUACACAAGCAGAUGAUUCUUUGUAUUUUGCUGGAAAUGGGAAUAUGGGUCAACCUCGGACCGUUAAUUCUCGAAUUGCUAAUGUUUCUGGUACAGAUUAUGAGAAACUUUCUUCUCAACAAGCUCUGAAGAGGACCCUUCCUGCUUCUUUUCAUCGAUCUCCAACCAAUAGUAAACCAACCAACUUGGUGGAGAGUGGUAGUAGCAGUCAGACUCGUGAUAUUUAUGGAAGCAUGUACCAUUUGGCAGGGCCAAGUUUAACCAAUUGUAAGGGCUAUAUGAGGGACCAUUAUGGAAGGCACAUUUAUGAGGAUUUUUUGAUGUAUGAAAACAACGGAAGAAGGAAACUACCCCCAAAGCAGAAGGCCAUGGUCGAACUAACUGAGAAAGAAGAGGUUGCCGUGGCGAUGCUGAAAAGUAUGGUCCAAAAAGAUACAUACGGGGUUGCUCGAUUGGUGGAGGAUGAAGUGUCGCACUGGUUCAAGACAGUGGUGUCAGGAGCUGAGUCUGAGUUAGAGGAAGAG